AGUUCAUUCGUUCUACUAGUACAGUGUAGGUCAUUCAUUCUACUAAAAAUACCAGUCGUGCCCUCUUCGGAAGGUAGCUACAACACUUCGAGCGUGAAAUUUUAUCGAGAGGAUUAAUCUUUAAAAGUUACCGAUUGCGCUUUUGUCCUUUUGUUGCAGAAUAAAAUUUAUUUGUUCCGUAAGACGUUUUGAGAUAACUUUUAAAGACCAAGUUUUAAUAAAAAUUAAAGUGUU
RNAcentral lists this unclassified non-coding RNA (234 nucleotides) under Melitaea cinxia (Glanville fritillary). Its description in RNAcentral is "misc RNA ENSMCXG00005004622.1". The record is from RNAcentral. Lineage: Eukaryota; Metazoa; Arthropoda; Insecta; Lepidoptera; Nymphalidae.